UGGCUCCAUCGUCCACAGUGGUGGUUCCUCUUGAACUAAUCGUUUUUGGUCAAUUUAGGCUGAUUUUGGCCAGUUUUGCAUGUAAACAUGUGAAAAACUAAGUUAGGGGCCAUCUGUUAGCUGGAAAAGGCAAAAAUUAAAACCCUACCGGUGGAAGGGUCUCCGGGUGCGGUAGCUCCACCAUUCCUCUUUUGCGACUGGGGUUCUCCUUCGACUAACCUGCACCAAAAAAGGAUGAGAAACACAAUAAUCAGAAAACUGAGGGAAACAAGACACGGGAAGGGGCUCAUCGGAUGAGGUUUUUAAAUUUAAGCCGCGACGAUUCUGUCGAGCUUCACUCGUAUUUUUUAGUUCAUUCGUCGGUCUUUCGGCUCCGAUAUGGAUGUGGGUAGGUUUAGAAUCAAAUUCUGAGUGAGAAAGGAAAAAAAAUACAUGUUCGUUAUCAGUAAUGGCUUUGGGACCAUGGUGGCGGCAGUCAAUUUCUUUUCGGCUACCCUUCUUCUUCUUUUCCAGCGAUGACUGGUGCGGUUAGGGUUAGGGUUUCCUGGACCGCAAGGUUUAAAUAUCCUUCCCGAGUCGAUUUGGGCCGUUCGUUUUGGGACACGUGAACCUUUCCCACUUGUUGGAUCCCUCUUAUUUAGAGAAUGAAUGUGGGCUACUUUAUCGAAUUGAAUCUAACUAUUUGAUUGUGCCUGAAGGAAAAACGCAUCUAGAUCGUUCGUGGGCGCGGGAUGUGAUUUGAUCUGUUGGAUUCGCAGGCACGCGGAUCGCCUACGUGGCCUUUCGUGUGGAAUCGGUGCCAGUGUGUCCGUCACGCGGCGUGUUUUGAGUUGUCAUUGCUGCUGAUGUGGUCGUCUCAUGUGACCAUAUUUUUUAU
Molecule: long non-coding RNA, 877 nt
Filed under: Carica papaya (papaya)
Lineage: Eukaryota; Viridiplantae; Streptophyta; Magnoliopsida; Brassicales; Caricaceae
Description: long non-coding RNA (CPAP_LNC006338)
Source: RNAcentral